CUGGAUCCCUGAUUGGCUCAUUCGACCAUAUGUCCAGUCAACAGCCAAAGCUUCCCAGCCUGCCUCUCCACCCAUGCCCAGCACCUCUUUGCUGCACUUCUUUUUUAUUUCUUAAAUUUUUUUCAUUUCAUUGUGACCUGAGAAAAAGAAAAAUAUAAAAUGACUUCCAAUCCCAGGUGGCAACUUCAGUGUCUGUAGUGAUGUAAUCAGAGAUCCAGAAAUGAAGACAAAAUGUGGUAAGAGUCAUAUUCUUUGACUAUCUACAAAUAUUAUCUGCAUGUAA
This 283-nucleotide long non-coding RNA is filed under the name Monodelphis domestica (gray short-tailed opossum). RNAcentral's name for it is "lncRNA (ENSMODG00000046910.1)". Lineage: Eukaryota; Metazoa; Chordata; Mammalia; Didelphimorphia; Didelphidae. The record is from RNAcentral.